Molecule: ribosomal RNA, 253 nt
Filed under: uncultured Azohydromonas sp.
Lineage: Bacteria; Pseudomonadati; Pseudomonadota; Betaproteobacteria; Burkholderiales; Sphaerotilaceae
Description: partial 16S ribosomal RNA
Rfam family: Bacterial small subunit ribosomal RNA
Source: RNAcentral
UACGUAGGGUGCAAGCGUUAAUCGGAAUUACUGGGCGUAAAGCGUGCGCAGGCGGUUCUGCAAGACAGAUGUGAAAUCCCCGGGCUCAACCUGGGAACUGCAUUUGUGACUGCAGGGCUGGAGUGCGGCAGAGGGGGAUGGAAUUCCGCGUGUAGCAGUGAAAUGCGUAGAUAUGCGGAGGAACACCGAUGGCGAAGGCAAUCCCCUGGGCCUGCACUGACGCUCAUGCACGAAAGCGUGGGGAGCAAACAGG